AAUGUAUGACGCCGUUGACUUUUUAUCCAACGUUUGACCAUUCGUUUUAUUAAAAACUUUAUGUAAUUAUCAUUUAUUUUAUUGUGACUUGAUUAAUCAUCAAAUGUUCUUUAAGUAUGAUAUAAAUAUUUUCAUAUUAAAUUUUAAAUAAAACGAAUGGUCAAACGUUGGUUAAGAAGUCAACGGCGUCAUACAUU
Molecule: microRNA precursor, 197 nt
Filed under: Oryza sativa Japonica Group (Japanese rice)
Lineage: Eukaryota; Viridiplantae; Streptophyta; Magnoliopsida; Poales; Poaceae
Description: MIR812 microRNA precursor family
Rfam family: MIR812 microRNA precursor family
Source: Rfam by way of RNAcentral